AUACCGUGAAACUGCGAAUUGGCUCAUUAAAUCAGUUAUCGUUUAUUUGAUAGUACCUUACUACUUGGGAUACCUGUGGGUAAAUUUCUAGAGCUAAUACAUGCUAAAAAACCCUCGAACUUNCGGAAAGGGGUGUAUUUAUUAGAUAAAAAAAACCCAAUGCCCUUUCGGGGCUCCUUUGGUGAUUCAUAAUAACUUCUCAGAUCGCAUGGCCUUGCGCCGGCGACGGGUUCAUUCAAAUUUCUGCCCUAUCAACUUUCGAUGGUACGGUAUUGGCGUACCAUGGUGGCAACGGGUAACGGGGAAUUAGGGUUCGAUUCCGGAGAGUUAGCCUGAGAAACGGCUAACACAUCCAAGGAAGGCAGCAGGCGCGCAAAUUACCCAAUCCCGACACGGGGAGGUAGUGACAAUAAAUACUGAUACAGGGCUCUUUUGGGUCUUGUAAUUGGAAUGAGUACAAUUUAAACCUCUUAACGAGGAACAAUUGGAGGGCAAGUCUGGUGCCAGCAGCCGCGGUAAUUCCAGCUCCAAUAGCGUAUAUUAAAGUUGUUGCAGUUAAAAAGCUCGUAGUUGAACCUUUGGCCUGGCUGGCAGGUCCGCCUCACCGCGUGCACUUGUCCGGCCGGGCCUUUUCUUCUGGAGAACCUCAUGCUCUUCAUUGGGUGUGUUGGGGACCAGGACUUUUACUUUGAAAAAAUUAGAGUGUUCAAAGCAGGCCUUUGCUCGAAUACGUUAGCAUGGAAUAAUAGAAUAGGACGUGCGGUUCUAUUUUGUUGGUUUCUAGGACCGCCGUAAUGAUUAAUAGGGACAGUCGGGGGCAUCAGUAUUCAAUUGUCAGAGGUGAAAUUCUUGGAUUUAUUGAAGACUAACUACUGCGAAAGCAUUUGCCAAGGGAUGUUUUCAUUAAUCAGUGAACGAAAGUUANGGGGAUCGAAGACGAUCAGAUACCGUCGUAGUCUUAACCAUAAACUAUGCCGACUAGGGAUCGGGCGGUGUUAUUAUUUUGACCCGCUCGGCACCUUACGAGAAAUCUAAAGUGUUUGG
Molecule: ribosomal RNA, 1044 nt
Filed under: Pseudodidymosphaeria spartii
Lineage: Eukaryota; Fungi; Ascomycota; Dothideomycetes; Pleosporales; Massarinaceae
Description: SSU rRNA
Rfam family: Eukaryotic small subunit ribosomal RNA
Source: RNAcentral